Molecule: long non-coding RNA, 2079 nt
Filed under: Manduca sexta (tobacco hornworm)
Lineage: Eukaryota; Metazoa; Arthropoda; Insecta; Lepidoptera; Sphingidae
Description: uncharacterized LOC119192845
Source: RNAcentral
AUUCUGAAACGACGCGUAGCGCCAUUUUUAUUGUGGUUAACCUUUAACCGCUGCUUUGAAAUUGAAUUUUCCGUCGCAAUUCGCUAUUUUGAUUUGAAGGCGGUUUUCAUUUAUUUAUUAUCUAAUUAUAGUGCUUUAUUGUGUGUGAAUGUUUUUGUAAACAGUAUAUUAUAAAAGCAAUCAUUUAGUGUUUACCAGUUUAAACGUGUAAUUGUUUUUUUCGUAUAGUUUGAUUUAUUUGAUAAUAUCAUGGUUUAUAAGUGCUCUGUUCCCGGGUGCAGUACUCGAGGCCGAGGUAUUAAAUAUUAUAGUGUGCCGUUCACAAAUAAAAAAAGGUGGGAAGAGUGGUUAAGUUUAUGUCCAUUCCUACAAAAUUAUCCUCCUACUCAACGCGAAAACAUUCGUUUUGUCAUAAACAUUUUAUUCCCGAACAUAUAAAACAGAAUCUAAGAUUAACACCUAAUGCGAUUCCUUUAGUAAACUUAGGAAAUACAGAUAAAUAUAAAGUUACAAACCGAGAUUUGAUAUUAGAAAUUGAACCCACUAGUAGCAUUACUGAACCCUUUAUUUUUAAAGUAGUUAACCCUUCUGAACUUAAUCGACCCACUAUAGAGCAAAAUUGUUCUAUCAUACAAGAACAUCAAAGUUCUGAGCUGUCUAGCACGGUAUCAAUUCAUGCUUCAUUGAAUGAAGCAAAUAGUAGUACUCCAACUCAAUUUACUCCCAAUAUACCUCACAAUACGCAAUACCCAAUAUGUAUAACCCCUUCCACAUCAACCACCAUUGCUGUGUGUAAUGAGCACAAAUUAAAAGUCACAGCCUAGUUAAACGUAGAUUAACUAAUCGUAUUAGAUUAAAUCCCAAUGAAUGUACCCCUCGUAAACGAAUUUUACGCUCUUCAAUUCACAUUUUAAAGAAUAAAUUACGUCUCUUGCAAUCAAGGUAUAAAAGUUAAAGACUAGAUUUGACCUUCAUGCACCAAAACAAAGGUGUUCUUGAAAAAUAUAACAUUUUGAGUACAUAUGGGAAAUUAUUAGUAGAUUCACAAUUACGUUUGACUGGUAAUUCAUUAAAAGGUCGCCGUUACACAGACUCAGAAAAAGUUUUUGCUUUAUCAUUAUAUAAGUUAAGCCCUAAGUGCUAUAGAUUUUUACGAAAACAUUUAGCAUUACCAUGUAAAUCCCGAAUUAAUUCUCUACUCAGCAAUAUUCCUUUGAGGCCUGGUAUUAAUGACUUUAUAUUUCAACAUUUGGCAGAUGCUGCCUUGGAUAAACCCCGCAAUAGACAGGCAAUGCACAUUAAUGUUUGAUGAAAUGUCCAUUAAAAAACACUUAAAUUUUAAUUUCUUUACUGGGGUCAUUGAAGGUUUUGAAGAUAUAGGUUCUGGCAAACGCACAAACAAUGUGGCUGAUAAAGCUUUAGUUUUUAUGUUACGGGGUUUGUUUUCUCCUUGGAAAAUUCCAAUUGCAUUUUAUUUUGCUCGAGAUGGGGUUAAAACAUUUGUUUUAAAAAUAUUAUUAAAGAAAUAGUAUUAGCAGUUUUAAAUCUGGAUUCAUAGUAAGAGCUACAAUCAGUGACCAAGGUUCUGCCAAUGUUGCUGCUAUUAAGUCAUUAAUAUCAGAUUCUAAUGCUGAACUCCUACGUAGUAACAAAUAUACCAAUGACAUCUGUUAUAAAAUCGGCCCAAACCAACUGUACCAUAUCUAUGAUGUACCUCAUUUAUUGAAAUGUUUUCGCAAUAAUUUUCAGAAAAAACCUACUCAUUGGCAACCAAAGGGCAAAGUGGGAGUAUAUUGAGAGACUUUAUAAAGUGGAUGGUUUUGGUGGCAGAGCAAGAAGCACCAAACUUACUGAGAAGCACAUAAAUCCAACUUCAUAUGACAAAAUGAAGGAUCUUUAGGUCAUCAGCAAACAUGAAAGGUGUGGAAUGAUGCAAGCAAUUGAUAAUGUCAUUUAUGAACAUAUUAAAAAUAACAGUCCCAAAUGGGAGCCCUGUGGGCACCCCAGAAGCAAUAUGAUGGAAAUUGGAACUAAAACCAUUAAGAACCACAUGGUCAAAUUUGCAGCCCAAGUUUUUAG